Molecule: ribosomal RNA, 829 nt
Filed under: Dactylonectria amazonica
Lineage: Eukaryota; Fungi; Ascomycota; Sordariomycetes; Hypocreales; Nectriaceae
Description: LSU rRNA
Rfam family: Eukaryotic large subunit ribosomal RNA
Source: RNAcentral
AUUGCCCUAGUAACGGCGAGUGAAGCGGCAACAGCUCAAAUUUGAAAUCUGGCCUUCGGGUCCGAGUUGUAAUUUGUAGAGGAUGCUUUUGGUGAGGUGCCUUCCGAGUUCCCUGGAACGGGACGCCAUAGAGGGUGAGAGCCCCGUCUGGUUGGACACCGAUCCUCUGUAAAGCUCCUUCAACGAGUCGAGUAGUUUGGGAAUGCUGCUCUAAAUGGGAGGUAUAUGUCUUCUAAAGCUAAAUAUUGGCCAGAGACCGAUAGCGCACAAGUAGAGUGAUCGAAAGAUGAAAAGCACUUUGAAAAGAGAGUUAAAAAGUACGUGAAAUUGUUGAAAGGGAAGCGCUUAUGACCAGACUUGGGCUUGGUUGAUCAUCCAGGGUUCUCCCUGGUGCACUCUUCCAGUUCAGGCCAGCAUCAGUUCGCUGCGGGGGAUAAAGGCUUUGGGAAUGUGGCUCCUUCGGGAGUGUUAUAGCCCAUUGUGUAAUACCCUGUGGUGGACUGAGGACCGCGCUUCGGCAAGGAUGCUGGCGUAAUGGUCAUCAGUGACCCGUCUUGAAACACGGACCAAGGAGUCGUCUUCGUAUGCGAGUGUUCGGGUGUUAAACCCCUACGCGUAAUGAAAGUGAACGCAGGUGAGAGCUUCGGCGCAUCAUCGACCGAUCCUGAUGUUCUCGGAUGGAUUUGAGUAAGAGCAUACGGGGCCGGACCCGAAAGAAGGUGAACUAUGCCUGUAUAGGGUGAAGCCAGAGGAAACUCUGGUGGAGGCUCGCAGCGGUUCUGACGUGCAAAUCGAUCGUCAAAUAUGGGCAUGGGGGCGAAAGACUAAU